UCUGGUUCGGUACAAAACUUUCUCGAUGAUAAGCUCGAUUAUUUGUUUGUUUUUCCGCGAUUUCCGCGAUAAAAUGCUAAAUAAUUUAUAAAGUGACCAUGGUGACCAUCCACCACGACUUCAGGAACAUCGCCAGCAAUGGUUUUCAUAUAUCGACGCAGCGGAAGACUCACGGUGGAUCCCAGGCAUUACCAUUUAGGUCGGAUCCGUGCGUUUCGUACGAAGCAAAUGAAGAAUAUGCCCAGCAAAACUCCACGAUCGGUUGUCGGACUUCCCCAAGCUGGAUGAUUUGCAUGCGAGCUGAUGAACAGCAGAACGAUGGUCCUUACUGGUUGGAAUUACAGCGGUUCAUCUAAAUUUGCUUCAUCGUAGCAUAACAUGGACAUUUCCAUCUGAAUACUUGACCAUCGUCUUUUGCGCCGCUCGGAUGUUUGUUACUAGGGUAA
Molecule: long non-coding RNA, 446 nt
Organism: Armigeres subalbatus
Lineage: Eukaryota; Metazoa; Arthropoda; Insecta; Diptera; Culicidae
Exons: 3
Source: RefSeq, a predicted model, not a curated record